RNAcentral lists this ribosomal RNA (253 nucleotides) under uncultured bacterium. Its description in RNAcentral is "partial 16S ribosomal RNA". It matches the Rfam family "Bacterial small subunit ribosomal RNA", at positions 524 to 776 of the family's 1533-position model. The record is from RNAcentral.
UACGAAGGGGGCUAGCGUUGCUCGGAAUCACUGGGCGUAAAGGGUGCGUAGGCGGGUCUUUAAGUCAGGGGUGAAAUCCUGGAGCUCAACUCCAGAACUGCCUUUGAUACUGAAGAUCUUGAGUCCGGGAGAGGUGAGUGGAACUGCGAGUGUAGAGGUGAAAUUCGUAGAUAUUCGCAAGAACACCAGUGGCGAAGGCGGCUCACUGGCCCGGUACUGACGCUGAGGCACGAAAGCGUGGGGGGCAAACAGG